Molecule: ribosomal RNA, 440 nt
Filed under: uncultured bacterium
Lineage: Bacteria
Description: partial 16S ribosomal RNA
Rfam family: Bacterial small subunit ribosomal RNA
Source: RNAcentral
CCUACGGGAGGCAGCAGUAGGGAAUAUUGCUCAAUGAGGGAAACCCUGAAGCAGCAACGCCGCGUGGAGGAUGAAGGUUUUCGGAUUGUAAACUCCUUUUGUUAGAGAAGAUAAUGACGGUAUCUAACGAAUAAGCACCGGCUAACUCCGUGCCAGCAGCCGCGGUAAUACGGAGGGUGCAAGCGUUACUCGGAAUCACUGGGCGUAAAGAGCGCGUAGGCGGGAUAGCAAGUCAGAUGUGAAAUCCUAUGGCUUAACCAUAGAACUGCAUUUGAAACUGUUAUUCUAGAGUAUGGGAGAGGUAGGUGGAAGUCUUGGUGUAGGGGUGAAAUGCGUAGAGAUCAAGAGGAAUACUCAUUGCGAAGGCGACCUGCUAGAACAUAACUGACGCUGAUGCGCGAAAGCGUGGGGAGCAAACAGGAUUAGAUACCCCGGUAGUC